Miniopterus natalensis is the source of this 2278-nucleotide non-coding RNA. Lineage: Eukaryota; Metazoa; Chordata; Mammalia; Chiroptera; Miniopteridae. The record is from RefSeq and is a predicted model, not a curated record.
UUAUUAUUAUUAUUAUUAUUUGAGCUUUAAGCUAAGACUGAGUAGCUCCAGGGGAAGUUUAGAAUUUCCUGCAUUACUUAGACUGGUUUUAUGGCUCAGAAUUGCCCCCUUCCUGUCGGCGUUUGCAGUUCCCCCCGCAGACACCAGCUGCGUCCUAUUUCCAUGUUGCAGCAGGUGUGUGCGUGGCGCCGGAGCAGACAGCCGGUGGGUAUUUUUAGCGCUCUCAGUUUUCUUUUGCCGAAGUCCUGCCGAGGUCUGCAGGCUGGCAGGGCCGAGCCUGUCCCUAAGGGAGGCGCCAGUCCCUCUGACGCUGAGGCAGCGGUGACAGCGAGCUGCAGUGAUCUGCCCCCUCCUCCCACCUCACCGCGCCCCUUCCGCUGUUUGCAGGUUGGCUUUAAAUAUUUCUGUCCUAAAGAGCUUGAAUUGUACCAGUCGAGGUAUGAAGUCGAGGCAGUCGAGCCAGUAUAACUGUACAGUCCGAUUCCGUGGUACCGGAGAGAAUGGUGGCUUACGAAUUCCAGAGUUGCGGAAUUUUUCCUUGGAGUCUGGUUUUAAAAAUGAGGACGCUUUUGGUUCAAAGAGGUUAAUGACUUGCCCCAGACCACAUGCCCUUCCAUUGGUGCCACCCGGAAUAAGUAGAGCCCAGCUGUCAGCUCCCCUGGCCCUCUGGUGGUGCUUUAUACCGUGCCCGCUGUCUUGCAGUGACUGCAUUUUCCCCCCCCCGGAUGCCUCUUGUUCGUGUUCUUCCGCUCAGCGUGUCCGUUAGUGGGAGGAGAGGCGUUUAUCAUAACCAUGGCGGUUGACGCUUACUUAGUACUUUCCACGGGCUGAACGUGGUGCUUAGUGUUCAUAAUCCCGUCUCCAGGGAGAAUUUGCAGGUGAGGGAGUGAAGCUUAAGAGAGGCCAAGUGACUGUCCAAGGUCAUACCACUAGUAAACGUGGUACCACAGGUCCUCCAAAAACGUCCUUUUGUUCGCUGUUGUUUCAUUAUUACAUUGAUGGGAUGUUGUAGGGACUUAACUCUUGUUUAUAUUAAUUAGUCUCUUGUAAAGUUGGUUUCAUUUUAUGUUGUUUCCCUUAAAGUCACAGAACCAAUUGACAAUGUUACGUGAGGACUUGCUCUGCAUGUUUGCCAGAGGGCCAGACCACGGUGUUCUUUUUAGUUUACUUUUUGCCACUAGUGUUUCGGACCCAUCUGUUGUCCUUGACCUUGGGAAUCAUCUUCCAUAGGUUCAUUAGAUAUUUUUUAAAAACCUAGGUUUGCUUAGUUAAUCCUCAGGGGACCUGAGAAACAGUCACUCAUCCACAAAGCAGCUCUUGAUCCAGGCGGAAGGUGGGUAGAGGAACUGAUUUGGACCUGGGCUCUCAUGUCCUCAGGUGACUGGAACAAGAACAUAUGUCCCCUUCAGAGCAGCUUUCCACCUCUGCUUGGGGCUGUGCUUCCAUCCUGGCAAAGGUCAGCAGAGGUCUCUCUGAGCAACAGGAGCCACGCCUGUCUCUGCUUUGACCCAGGCGGUCUGCUCCCCACCAUGCUCUGUGUCACCUUACUGAGGACGCUCAAGCCCCUCUCAACAGAGCUUGUUCUUUGCUGCUCGUGUGCCCCCUCCAUCAGAGAAGCCUUCCUGAGGUGGUCUGCUCCAGAAAACCCCACCAACCUGUUUCCUGUCUUCCACUGUAGACCAGCAAGCCUGACCGUCCAGCUGCUGCUGCUCAUGUGCUGGUCCAGGAUCUGCAUUGACCGGGAGUGACUCAUAGUCGGUCCAGCAUGAACUGGAAGGUUCUCGAUCAUGUGCCCCUGCUGCUAUAUAUCUUGGCAGCAAAGACAUUAAUUCUCUGCCUGGCAUUUGCCGGAGUCAAAAUAUACCAGAGGAAGAGAUUGGAAGCAAGACAACAACAGCUAGAAGCUGAAAAGAAGAAGCGGUCACAGAAGAAAGACAGCUAAAGGGAAGCCAGAGGCCUUUCUGACCACGGUCCUCAGGGAGCUGCAGGCGCUCGCCAAGCAGAAGCAGUUACUGUCACAGAUGCUCGCCUUUUAAAGAGAUGUUUCAUCCACCAGAACCCAGAGCAGGCGCUCCGUGGGGAGGAGGGAGCCCGUCCAAAUGAAAAGAUUUGCACUUGACCUCCGAGGACUCCAGCUGAGAAGAGAAGGAAUUCUUCACUGCUGAGGGACGUGCCAGAGGUUGAACUCAGCCUGAAGCUUUAACUAAAGUGAUGUGAACCAUUAGAUGCUUUUAAAGAACCCUCAUUUUCUCUAGUAAAUAAAAUACUUUUGUAAAAA